Molecule: ribosomal RNA, 253 nt
Filed under: uncultured bacterium
Lineage: Bacteria
Description: partial 16S ribosomal RNA
Rfam family: Archaeal small subunit ribosomal RNA
Source: RNAcentral
UACCAGCACCCCGAGUGGUCGGGACGAUUAUUGGGCCUAAAGCAUCCGUAGCCGGUUCUACAAGUCUUCCGUUAAAUCCACCUGCUUAACAGAUGGGCUGCGGAGGAUACUAUAGAGCUAGGAGGCGGGAGAGGCAAGCGGUACUUAGUGGGUAGGGGUAAAAUCCGUUGAUCCAUUGAAGACCACCAGUGGCGAAGGCGAGUCCCUGGACAACACCUGACACUGAGGCACGAAAGCUAGGGGAGCAAACAGG